AGUAAUUAUUUUACUGUGGUAUCUAUCUCUAUUUAUAUUAGCUGCGGAAUCACAGCCAGACACAUCAUCUCCUAUUCUCUCAUUCCAGAUCCUAAUAUUUCGGAUCGGCAAUGUCACCGAUGAGAGGAGCGGCACCGGCGAGGUCGACACGGAUGGUGAUGUGGUUCCUCCUGUGCGGUUUGCUUGUCAGGGCGAUGGCGUGGAGAUGGAGAUCCGAGUGGUGGCGAGGAGGUCCGUCGCCAUGGCGACGGGUAAUUGGCAUUUGCGAGACGAGAUGCCGACAAUGGUGCCCUGCAUCCAGCGGCAACCUCGACGACGGCGUGCACGGCCAAGCAGCAGAAGCAGCAUCCACGAGGAGGCCGAUUCACAGCGGCGCGAGCAAACUGUCAUCCAUGUCGAUGCUGACAACGAGAUGGUCGGUGAUGAGGUUCCACCGUACAAGGAGGUCAGGCGUGAGGGAGGACUGCAUCCACUGGGAUCUACACUGUGACUGACGGCCUGCGGCUCGAUACGGCGGCGUGGUGGCCACCUUGAGUAUGGCGGCGACCGAUUCCGUCGUUGACGCAAUAGCAUGCUCAUCUACGCCUUCGUGUUGCCAGAUUGGAUCGAGAGUCAUUGCAUGCAUCUGAUCUUCGUUUUCCUUGUGUCUCAAAGCUGUUGUCGACAGCUGGUUUAUUGUGUCAUGUAUAUCCUUCUCCUUUUCUUCUUUUUCGCCGGUCAGAGUCAGAUGAUUCUGCUCUCGCUGUGUGUAAUUUUCUACUAACUAAAACUUUCAUAUAUGUAUAAUCUCUCACUAAGAUUUCACAUAUGCAUCAUAAAAUAAUUAUUAUCCACACGUUUGUGAUUGUUGAAAUUUUU
Oryza sativa Japonica Group (Japanese rice) is the source of this 858-nucleotide long non-coding RNA. RefSeq lists it as uncharacterized. Lineage: Eukaryota; Viridiplantae; Streptophyta; Magnoliopsida; Poales; Poaceae. The record is from RefSeq and is a predicted model, not a curated record.